This 459-nucleotide ribosomal RNA is filed under the name uncultured bacterium. Its description in RNAcentral is "partial 16S ribosomal RNA". It matches the Rfam family "Bacterial small subunit ribosomal RNA", at positions 338 to 795 of the family's 1533-position model. The record is from RNAcentral.
CCUACUGGUGACAUCAUUGAGGCAUUUGGGUCAAUGGGCGAGAGCCUGAACCAGCCAAGUCGCGUGAGGUCUUCCUUCCCUCCUUUUUUUCCCCCUCUUUUUCCUUUUUCCCCACUUCGUCACUCUUGCCGUCCUGAUGUUACCCGGAGAAAAAGCAUCUUCUAACUCCUUGCCAGCCGCCGCGGUAAUACUGCAUCUGCUCUCGUUCUCCUUAUUUCUUGGGUUUAACGUUUUCUUAGGCGGGAUGCCAAGUCAGCGGUCAAAUACGGGGGCUCAACCUGCGUCCGCCGUUGAAACUGGCGUUCUUGAGUGGGCGAGAAGUACGCGGAAUGCGUGGUGUAGAGGUGAAAUGCAUAGAGAUCAAGAAGAACCCCGAUUGAGAAGGCAGCGUAAAGGCGAACAAAUGAAGCUGAAGCACGAAAGAGGGGGGAUCGAACAGGAGGAGAGAAAAGGGGAGUC